UGAUUAGCUAGUUGGUGAGGUAAUAGCUUACCAAGGUGAUGAUCAGUAGCUGGUCCGAGAGGAUGAUCAGCCACACUGGGACUGAGACACGGCCCAGACUCCUACGGGAGGCAGCAGUGGGGAAUUUUCCGCAAUGGGCGAAAGCCUGACGGAGCAAUGCCGCGUGGAGGUGGAAGGCCUACGGGUCGUCAACUUCUUUUCU
RNAcentral lists this ribosomal RNA (202 nucleotides) under Triticum aestivum (bread wheat). Its description in RNAcentral is "partial small subunit ribosomal RNA". It matches the Rfam family "Bacterial small subunit ribosomal RNA", at positions 238 to 439 of the family's 1533-position model. The record is from RNAcentral. Lineage: Eukaryota; Viridiplantae; Streptophyta; Magnoliopsida; Poales; Poaceae.